UUCGUUGUAGAAGGGUCUAAAUACAGCACAAACAACAUUUUCCAAAAGACCAAAAAAGUGAAAAAGUAUAUUUAAACAAGACGCAUUUGACUAAUAGGUCGAACAACUGAUGUUCUUUAACCCUGCUGACUGCCAUUGGCGAUUGCCAAAUAAAAUUGAUCACAAGAUGUAACAAAAUGGAUCUUAAUAUAAAUUUAAUACUAAACAGAAAACAAUUAACUUGUGGCCAC
This 230-nucleotide long non-coding RNA is filed under the name Mytilus galloprovincialis (Mediterranean mussel). Lineage: Eukaryota; Metazoa; Mollusca; Bivalvia; Mytilida; Mytilidae. The record is from RNAcentral.